This is a long non-coding RNA of Lemur catta (Ring-tailed lemur), 1097 nucleotides long. RefSeq lists it as uncharacterized. The transcript has 2 exons. Lineage: Eukaryota; Metazoa; Chordata; Mammalia; Primates; Lemuridae. The record is from RefSeq and is a predicted model, not a curated record.
UUAAUUGCUGCUUCAAUUUCUGUGCUUGAUAUUGGUCUGGUCAGCAAUUCUAUUUUUUUCUGAUUGAGCCUAGGUAUGUUCUGUGUAAGCAUUUGGAACUUGAAACUUUUCUCUAACUUUAAGACUGUUUCCAAAAGUUAAUCAGAAAUAAACAAAUGAAGGAAUGAAUGAUCAGAAAAAUGAAAAGCCUUAGGCAAAUUUUAUUUCUCCAAGAAGAAAGAGUCAUAUAAAUCAGUGCUUAAAAUUAAAAUUAUAAACAGCUAACAUUUUGGCAGUCUGAGGAUGUAAAACUGGCUUUCAUUUGCAAGACCUACUUAAAAGUCUUUCACAUUGUAUAUUUUUUUUAAAAAAAAAUUGGCACAUAUUUCCAUGAUGCUUUCUAAAGAAUGUCUUCAUUUAGAUUUGACUCAUCAGUGAAUCUAGAGAAGAAGCUCUUCCACAGGAGAAUAUCCAGCAGCAUCUGGAAAGGAAAGACAGAGUAUUCUUUACCUAACAGAUUUCAUUGGAACUAAGUGAAAUCUCAGUAGGAAGAAGGACCUCGACCAAAGAGUGAGCACUGGAGGUUUUGGAGGUUUGCAGGAAGAAAAGCUGUGAAAUAUUAAAAAAAAAUACCGUGGGAGCAUCACCAGACUAGAGAACAUGUUAGAAUUUGGGGGCAACACUGAAUACCUUCAUGAAGUUACUGGUCAUGAGUCAAAGUGAGACCAAAGCUUAGAUACCCUAGCAGAAAUCUUGUCUGGAUGAGAUGCUGGCGGUUGAUCAUUAGAUUCAUCACCUAGCCCAGGGCUGUUGGUUGAGGCCUGAGACCCAUGGAGGAAGGGACAAAGAAUCAUAUGUAAAAAAGCAAAAGAAAACACUGCACCACUAAAAGCUUUGAAAUGUUAACACUACUUUUAAAGCAUGUAAACAAAAGAUGAGAAGAUGACCGUCUCUCCCCAUCCCACUGCUCGUCAUGGAGCACCUCAAAGAAUCUCCUGCUUUGGCACUGGUGGAAUUUUCAGCCUUACCAGGUGAAAGUGGUGGUGACCUGAGGAGGAUUAUGGAACCUGUGAGUGUGCACAAGCAGGAGGACACUGCUGGACCCACGAAGAGGAAAA